RNAcentral lists this unclassified non-coding RNA (375 nucleotides) under Acacia cognata. Its description in RNAcentral is "partial external transcribed spacer". Lineage: Eukaryota; Viridiplantae; Streptophyta; Magnoliopsida; Fabales; Fabaceae. The record is from RNAcentral.
UGCCGGCUGGCUCCGUGCCCGUCCACCGAACGGUCGGCAGGCGAUCCGCGUCGGUCGUGCGAGGUGGUAUGGUUCCCCAGAGGCCGGUUCUUGUGCUGCCUACCCCUUCAAGGGAAGCGGGCCACUUGAUGUAAGCCUUCCAUCCGGCGCCUUCCAAUGGGCGCAGGAGGACAACAGAGCACCCCCCGCGUUCCACCGAGCCUUCUCGGUCGCGUGGCCCGCGGGGACGUGCGAUGCUCUCGGACCCAGCGAACGCCGUGGGCGAGGACUCACGUCCCAGUCCCGAAAAUAAGCUCCGAUAUAAUGCAUGACGGCCGCUCCCGCCCCCCUUCCGCCCCGGCGGCGCGGGGCGAGGCGCGGCGUCCAAAGGAAUGC